Molecule: ribosomal RNA, 309 nt
Filed under: uncultured Bacillus sp.
Lineage: Bacteria; Bacillati; Bacillota; Bacilli; Caryophanales; Bacillaceae
Description: bacterial SSU rRNA
Rfam family: Bacterial small subunit ribosomal RNA
Source: RNAcentral
UAGGGAAUCUUCCGCAAUGGACGAAAGUCUGACGGAGCAACGCCGCGUGAGUGAUGAAGGCUUUCGGGUCGUAAAACUCUGUUGUUAGGGAAGAACAAGUACGAGAGUAACUGCUCGUACCUUGACGGUACCUAACCAGAAAGCCACGGCUAACUACGUGCCAGCAGCCGCGGUAAUACGUAGGUGGCAAGCGUUAUCCGGAAUUAUUGGGCGUAAAGCGCGCGCAGGCGGUUUCUUAAGUCUGAUGUGAAAGCCCACGGCUCAACCGUGGAGGGUCAUUGGAAACUGGGGAACUUGAGUGCAGAAGAG